UGACGUGUUCGAAGUGAAUUUAUGUCGUUUGUGGAUAAAAUGGAUGAGUAACGAAGAAAUGAGAAGUGCUGCUCUUAAAUUUUAUGAAAAGUAUAAAAUUCCGAGUGUUAUGGGGUGUAUUGAUGGUACCCAUAUAAAAAUUGUGGGACCAAAACACAAUAAGCACUCAUUUUAUAAUCGAAAAGGAUACUUUAGUUUAAAUGCUCUUGUUGUUUGUGACCAAAAAAUGAGGUUUCGAUUUAUUGAUGCGUCGCAUCCAGGAGCUUGUCACGACUCUUUAGUGUGGAACGUUUCGGAACUAAAGAGACAUAUUUGCAAUAAUCGCAGCAACUUUUGGAUGUUAGGCGACGCAGGAUAUCCUCUGGAAUCCUUCUUAUUAACACCUUAUAGGACACCUGAAGAGGGAAGUGUAGAAGCAAAAUUUAAUUUAGCUCAUUCUCGGUGCCGAAAUAUUAUAGAACGUGCAAUUGGGUUGCUUAAAAGCCGAUGGAGAUGUUUGCUUGGUGCUAGAGAACUUUAUUACAGCCCACAGAAAGCAGCUAAAAUAUUCAAUGUGUGCGUAAUGUUACAUAAUUUAUGCAUUCAUUUCAAAGAUCAAUUUGCUGAUAUCGUUGAGAUACCUGAUUGUGACGAAGAGGAAUCUCUAGUGACUAUGGAGGAGGACAACAUAGAUUUCGGAAUGCAAAGAAUGAGCGAAGCGCAAAGAAUUAGGAACCAAAUAGCUCACUCACUCCCUUAAAGCAUUAUUACUUCUUUCAAUAUCGUUUGUAGAAAAAACAAAACUAACUCCAUUUUUCUGUAACGAAAAAACUAUUUCUUCAUUUCUUAUAAUCCUAAUUCAAUGAACAUAAAAUGUAUUUCAAAUAAAAUAUAAGUAAAAUAAAAAAAAAAUUAACA
This is a long non-coding RNA of Bactrocera tryoni, 897 nucleotides long. RefSeq lists it as uncharacterized. The transcript is spliced from 3 exons. The record is from RefSeq and is a predicted model, not a curated record. Lineage: Eukaryota; Metazoa; Arthropoda; Insecta; Diptera; Tephritidae.